Molecule: long non-coding RNA, 508 nt
Organism: Oreochromis niloticus (Nile tilapia)
Lineage: Eukaryota; Metazoa; Chordata; Actinopteri; Cichliformes; Cichlidae
Exons: 2
Source: RefSeq, a predicted model, not a curated record
ACUCUGUUCCAAGAAUUCUACUCUUUUACAGAGCAUCUUUUUGAGUGUCUUGGUUUUAAUUGGAUUUGGAUCUCCACAUCGUUGGUGGAAGAAGGUUAUCAGAAUGGCUUCAAAAUUUGCGACCACAAUUGGCGACGUACGAAGGGACAAGGAAUUAAGGUGAUUGCUGGGAGCCUUGGGGAAUGCCAAAGCCUUGCACAUCAGAGAACACCAAGCGGCCGCUACAAUAAGUGCGGCUACAUAUAGACCAGUGGCAGCUACUUCUGUUCAUGUAUUGAAGCUAAUAGUAAGAUGCUAGCUCUAAACGUGCAGCACUAAACUAUCCACAGUGCUAUAAUUCAGUGGGUGAGCAAUUUGUAGUUACUUUCAAAUGGAAGAAAGAUAAAAAUGAAUGCAGUGUGGAGGAGAAAGCAGCGAAGGAUUCUGUCAUAAUCUUAACUGCAUUGGGAAAAGGGGGGAACAUAUAGCUUAGCAGAGCUAAAUUGUUAACUCUCCCAAAGAAUGAACC